ACUCAAAGGAAUUGACGGGGGCCCGCACAAGCAGCGGAGCGUGUGGUUUAAUUCGACGCAACGCGCAGAACCUUACCAGGGCUUGAAACGCCGCUUACAAUCGGGGAAACCCGGUGGCCGCAAGGCGUGCGGUACAGAUGCUGCAUGGCUGUCGUCAGCUCGUGCCGUGAGGUGUCGGGUUAAGUCCCGCAACGAGCGCAACCCCUGGGCCUAGUUGGGUGUCUAGGCUGACUGCCCCCGCAAGGGGGAGGAAGGCGGGGAUGACGUCAAGUCAGCACGGCUCUUACGUCCUGGGCUACACACACGCUACAAUGGGCGCGACAAAGGGAUGCGAAGCCGCGAGGCGGAGCCAAUCCCAGAAAGGCGCCCUCAGUUGGGAUUGCAGGCUGCAACUCGCCUGCAUGAACGUGGAGUUGCUAGUAACCGCCGGUCAGCACUACGGCGGUGAAUACGUUCCCGGGCCUUGUACACACCGCCCGU
RNAcentral lists this ribosomal RNA (480 nucleotides) under uncultured bacterium. Its description in RNAcentral is "partial 16S ribosomal RNA". It matches the Rfam family "Bacterial small subunit ribosomal RNA", at positions 899 to 1397 of the family's 1533-position model. The record is from RNAcentral.